Molecule: ribosomal RNA, 507 nt
Filed under: uncultured bacterium
Lineage: Bacteria
Description: partial 16S ribosomal RNA
Rfam family: Bacterial small subunit ribosomal RNA
Source: RNAcentral
GACGAACGCUGGCGGCGUGCUUAACACAUGCAAGUCGAACGGGCCUUGUCCCCUUUUUUUUGGGGGUGGGGUUAGUGGCGAACGGGUGAGUAACACGUGAGUAACCUGCCCCUCACUUCUGGAUAACCGCUUGAAGGGGUGGCUAAUACGGGGUGUUCUGGCCUGCUCGCAUGGGUGGGUUUGGAAAGAUUCGACCGGUUUUGGUUGUUUUGGUGGGGGAUGGGCUCGCGGCCUAUCAGCUUGUUGGUGGGGUGAUGGCCUGCCAAGGCUUUGACGGGUAGCCGGCCUGAGAGGGUGGGCGGUCACACUGGGACUGAGACACGGCCCAGACUCCUACGGGAGGCAGCAGUGGGGAAUAUUGCACAAUGGGCGCAAGCCUGAUGCAGCGACGCCGCGUGAGGGAUGGAGGCCUUCGGGUUGUGAACCUCUUUCGCCAGUGAAGAAGGUCCUGCUCUUUGUGGUGGGGUUGACGGUAGCUGGGUUAAUGAAGCGCCGGCUAACUACGUG